This 2457-nucleotide ribosomal RNA is filed under the name Triticum aestivum (bread wheat). RNAcentral's name for it is "partial small subunit ribosomal RNA". Lineage: Eukaryota; Viridiplantae; Streptophyta; Magnoliopsida; Poales; Poaceae. The record is from RNAcentral.
AUGGCUUUCAACAAAUUAGCACCCGCUGUAGGGUUCAUCGUAGCACUGACGGCGUUCUGCCUCAGUGAUGCUGGAGCUUUGGUGCCACCAGGCAACUGCACGAGGGAGUGCGGUGGACUGGAGAUCCCUUACCCGUUUGGCAUCGACCUCGAGGAUGGCUGCCAACUUUCUGACCGCCGGCAAGGCUUCAAGCUACGCUGCCUAGACAGAGGGGGCCGUGGCAAGAGGCUAUAUUACAUCAACCAGGAGGUGCUGGAGAUCUCGCUGGAGCACGGCCAGGUCCGGUGGCUGAACAACAUCUCCUCCUACUGCUACAACGCCACCGCCGGGGAAAUGAAGGUCAACAGCCCGCCGUCGAACAUGGACCUGGAGGGCUCCAUCUUCCGGCUCUCCGACACCGCCAAUAAGUUCACCGUGCUCGGGUGCAAGACGCUCGCCUACAUCGGCGACACGAACAACAGCACAUCGUACACGGCCGUGUGCGGAGCCACGUGCAAGGACGGCAACCUCUCGCUGCUGACCAACGGCUCCUGCGAGGGGAUCGGCUGCUGCCGGACGGCGAUCCCCAAGGGGCUGGAGAACUACCGGGUGUGGUUUGACAAGAGCUUGAGCACCCGCCGCUGCAGCUACGCGGCGCUGGUUGAGGCGUCCAACUUCACCUUCUCAUCCGCCUACCUUUCCUCGUCGGCGUUCGUCGACGCCUACGGCGGGCAGGCGCCGCUGGUGGUGGACUGGGCUAUUGGGACGCUGCAAGGGGAGACGUGCGAGUCAGCACGCGCGAAGCCGGAGUCCUAUGCGUGCGUCGGCAACGACAGCGUGUGCGUCGACUCGUCUAUUGGACGAGGCUACUUCUGCAAAUGCAAGAAAGGGUACCAAGGAAAUCCUUACCUUCCAUACGGAUGCAAAGAGACGCUGAAUUCAAACUUGGAGUUGGCUUUCUGAAUUUCAAGCUCUUGAGUUUUCAGCUGGUUCUUCAGGUCAGCAAGCUCCGACUCAAAUUGACUUAUGGUGGCCUGUAUUGAUACCAGGUUAUGGUAAGAAUCAUGAUGUCGAUGAGUGCCUUGACCCAAAAAAUUGUGAAGGGACGUGCCACAAUAUCAUUGGAGACUUCAUCUGUUGUCCUCCGAGAACAAAAUAUGAUCCCAAAAAAAUGCAGUGCACCACUACCAAAAAGAAAACUCUCGUCAUAGGUACCUACCUUUCAAUUAUUAUGGAGUAUAUGAAAAUGACAAUAAGCUUAUUGGCAUAUGGUUUUACAUAGGUGUUACCAUUGGGCUGGGUGCGGGCUUUGGAAUGCUACUUCUUGGCUUGAGUGGAAUGUCCAUCUCCUAUCGAUGGAAAAGAUGUGUCAAAAAACAACAGCGCAGGCUUUAUUUCCAGAAAAACCAAGGCCUUCUAUUGGAACAACUCAUAUUAUCAGAUGAAAAUGCAAGUGAUAGAACAAUGAUUUUCUCCUUAGAGGAGUUGGAGAAGGCAACAAACAACUUUGAUGAAACUCGUAUUGUAGGCCGUGGAGGACAUGGCAUGGUAUACAAAGGCAUCUUAUGAGACCAACGUGUGGUGGCUAUAAAAAAGUCAAAACUUGUUGAGGAAUCUGAGAUCAAUCAGUUUAUUAAUGAGGUUGUAAUCCUCUCCCAGAUAAAUCACCGAAAUAUCGUAAAGCUCUUUGGAUGUUGUCUUGAAACAGAAGUGCCGCUCUUAGUAUCUGAUUUUAUCCCUAAUGGCUCUCUAUUUGAUGUUUUGCAUGGUGAGCCAACUGGUAGACUAUGUUUAUCCUGGGAUGAUUGUUUGAGGGUUGCUCAAGAAACUGCUGGAGCUCUCUGUUAUCUACAUACAUCUGCCUCGAUAUCGGUCUUUCAUCGUGAUGUGAAGUCCUCGAAUAUCUUGUUAGAUGGAAAUUUCACCGCUAAAGUUUCAGAUUUUGGUGCUUCAAGAACAGUUCCUAUUGACCAAACUCAUGUUACCACAAAUGUACAAGGAACAUUCGGAUACCUGGAUCCAGAGUAUUAUCAAACUGGGCAACUAAAUGAGAAAAGCGAUGUGUAUAGUUUUGGUGUGGUACUCAUAGAGUUACUUACAAGAAAAGAGCCUGUUUUUAGAAGUAAUUCAGGUUCAAAGCAAAACUUGUCCAUCUACUUCAUUACAGAGAUUAAAACAAAGUCAGUAAGAGAGGUGGUAGCCACUCAAGUUCUUGAAGAAGCAAGCGAGGAUGAAAUUUGUAUCAUUGCCUCUCUUGCGGAGUCGUGUUUGCGUCUCAAGGGAGAAGAAAGGCCUACUAUGAAGCAAGUGGAGAGUACAUUACAAUAUUUGCGAACAAAAAGGUUGGCCUCAUGUCAUGCUGUUCAAAGGAGCGAAGAAGAAAUCCAACCACUUGUCUCUAGUUUUCAACCUUUCGCCAUUCAUAUGGAUGAUAAAUCUCAUUCAGAAGCAUCUAGUUCUUUCUUCAGUUCGGGGUGA